UAGAUACGUGUGUAGCCGGCAUUAGAAUGGCAAUGAAACGAAUACCUAUAUUAAAAACGGGUCACUCAGUUUUUUAAGUCGAAAAACGCUCGACAUGUACGUGUGACAUAUGUGUUUUACGUGAGUGACCCGUUGUAUAUAUAUUUAAUAUGUCUGUGACUCACGGAAGUUUUGUUAUUUAAACGAAUACCUACCUACUGUAGAAAUUAUAAUUAAUUGGAGAAUUAGUCUGAUCAACCAUUAAAAUUGAUAAUAAAUGGCUUGCUUUAUUUUUGUAAUGCUGGCACUUUGUAAUCUAAAUUAAAAGGAAUGUAAAAUUUUCUUCUAUGUUCAAACUAGAACUAGGGGUAUAUAAAGCUACCGUUUUGAGUUUUUCAUCAGUACAUUCAAAUCAUUCGUCUAUAAACGAUUAAAAAACUCCAAAAAAAUCUAAAUAUUCCCAAGUUUUCGAAAAACAUCCUAUUCACUUCUUUUAUCCGCUUCAGUCCUUUUGGACGUUAUAGUAUUUUGCUACUUGGUAGUACUCUCUACAAUCAAUAAACAUGUGCUGCGGAGGUUGUGGUUGCUGCGGAGGCUGCUGCGGUGGAUGCUGCUGCCCUUGCAUCACCAUCUACACAUGCUGUACCAAGAUCUGCUGAGUAGUCGCCGCAGAGGUGCCGGCAGCCGUGCCAGCGCUUCUGAUGCUUCUACCAAAACCCGUGUUGUGUGGAUGUCAUAUUCUCACAAGUGUUGUUGCGUGAAAUAAAUUAUGUAUUAAGCUUAAA
Molecule: long non-coding RNA, 764 nt
Organism: Cydia pomonella (codling moth)
Lineage: Eukaryota; Metazoa; Arthropoda; Insecta; Lepidoptera; Tortricidae
Exons: 2
Source: RefSeq, a predicted model, not a curated record